Homo sapiens (human) is the source of this 11978-nucleotide long non-coding RNA. RefSeq lists it as uncharacterized. The record is from RefSeq and is a predicted model, not a curated record. The transcript has 4 exons. NCBI's taxonomy places the organism in Eukaryota, Metazoa, Chordata, Mammalia, Primates, Hominidae.
CUCAAACACACACACCUGCUGCUCCUGGGCUGUUCUGAUGGCACGGUAUCCUGGGAAGGGGAGCAAGUGCGAGGUGUGUAUUAGUGGAAGUCCAGCAGAAGAGAUGGCGAAUGUAACAGGGCUGGGCUAAGGGGAGCUGGCGAGGGAGUGCAGAGCACCUUGAAGGCAGCAGAGCAGAGUCAUUUGGGACCUGGAGAGCGCACGGCUGGAGGAGGGGCUGCCCCACAGAAGCGUGGCCUUCACAGGGGAGAACCACGGUCACCCCAGGCCCAGCAGGGUGUGUAAGUGAGUGGAGAGCAAUCCACAGCCUUUCAUCCUCACAGUCAGGUCUCCAUAACUGACCCUACCAAAGGCCUGGUUGGUGCAGCCUUAGAAGUCAAUCCUUCAGGUACGGGGUGCAGAGCAGGGUGGGGCAGAGUGGAGAGUGGGAGGUGGGGUACAGGGAGCCUCUGGAGCUUUCUUUCUGUUAUUAUUUUGUGUGUGCUUUGAGACAGGGUCUUGCUGUGUUGCCCAGGCUGGAGUGCAGCAGCAUGAUCACAGCUCGCUACGGCCUCGACCUCCUGGCCUCAAGUGAUCCUCCUACUUCAGCCUCCUGAGUAGCUGGGACUACAGGCUUGCAUCACCAUGCCUGGCUGAUUUUUUAUUUUUAUUUUUUGUAAAGAUGAGGUCUCACUAUGUUGCCCAGGUUGGCCUCAAACUCCUGGGCUCAAGCCAUCCUCCAGCCUUGGCCUCCCAAAGUGCUGGGAUUACAGGUGUAAGCCACCAUGCCUGGACUCUCUGGAGCUUUCUGAGGAACAGACAGGGUGGCAGUGACGCUCUGUGCCCCCGAGAGGGGGUGGGCUGGAAAGCAGAACAUGCUAUUCUGUGUGCGCCCAGGGCAGCUUCAUCCUUCUGGCUUCUCUGACCACCACCAGCCAUGCUGGGUGCAAGAGCCCCAAGGGAGGGCCCCUGUUCUUUCCCUGGGGUACCCAGAGGAUUUCCCAUACUUGCAUAGGACCUGGGGGUCAGGAGGGGGAGGAAUCAGGAAGAAGAAGCCGCCUCUGAGAGAAGGAGUGGGAGAGAGCCAGCAGCAGAGCUGUCUCCCAGCUUCUCACUUUCAGAAACACACUCGCUGCCGCAGCCUUUUAUUCUUCCUACAAAUUUGUACUGCACACUUACUGUGGGCAAGGCCAGUUCCUGCCAAGCACAAGCUUGUGCUUAGGCAGCUGUCAGUGUGGGCACGCCCUCCAUGGCUGCCUGGCCUGAGGGCAGGCUCAUUAAGCGAAUGAGGAGGGGCAGUGUCAGUUCACCGGCUGCCUCCUCCGAGGAAUCUUCCAGCCCACCCCAGCCCAAGGCUCCCUUCCUGUCCCGAGCACCAUGUCUGUCACUGUUAGCAUUAUUGCCUACAGUUACUGCCCCCCAAGUAUAACCUCCCCAGGACCCAUACCUAGGAGGGAGGGAACUACAGGCAGUGGAGGCCUCUGCUUAGAGAUGCUCUGUAAUUCUGACUGCCCCAUGCUCACCUCUGGAAAGAGAGGCAGUUCAAUUACCCAACCAAUAAUGUAGCCAUUUUCUGUCUGUUGGGCAGGUGAGACCAAUAAUACCAGCUGCCCCCAGCUCCAGUCCCCCCUCCCCUGGCUCAGCAUCUUAGCACAUUUGUUGCUUAGCAAGGGAGGGUGGUUCCCAUGACUUUCUGUUUCUUUGCUCCCCACUCACCUAGCAGCUGAUGGGGAGUGGGAGGACAGUGGUCGCCUGUCAGCUUCCCUGCUGUCUUAUGUGCACAUGGCAGGGGUGCCGUACAGCCUGGAGGCCUGGACAAAUGGAAUUCAAGGGCUGGGGAAAGAGUGGGCUGAGGCCUUACCGGUCACACCUACAGGCUGCCGAGCCUGCCAGGCAGCUUCAAUUGCAGGGUUCGGCUCCCAGAGAGAAUGGCUGCUGUUCUAUUCUACCUUGGUCCCUGGGAUGGAAACCUGAUUGGAUUGAAUCCUAGGAUAUGUCAUUUUCCCUCUGCUAGCUGCUGGUCCCAGCGUCUCCCAUACCUGAUGGUGUGAGGCUGGACCAGAGCCGGUAUCUAUGCCAGGAGAGUCUGGGGCUUGGCCUGUUUCUGGGGCACUGGGGCACUGGGGCAGGGAAUAGGUCUUGGCUGCUAGGUGAGCUACUCCUCAAUGCACCCAGGAGCUUUCCAGAUCCAUAGCCCUGAAGAGAGAAGAGAGAAGAUCUCACGGACUGUUGAUCUUUCACCUUUCCCUCUCUGCUGUCCCCAACCUGUCAUCUGUGCCACAGAACUGAGGACCUAGUUGGAGAGACAGACAGGUGAGAUAGAUGGCUGAGAGAGGGACCAAACUGCCCCACCCCCAGCCAGCCCUUAAGAACCUCCUUUUAAAAUUGCUUUGCAUCAUAUUUCUCUCCCUGCUCAGCCCCACUGGCUCCAGCAGCUCUGGCCUCCUCAUCCAUCAUGCUGGCUGCAGGGCACGAGCGUAUGUCUUGCAGAGAAACCUUUCUGCCCUAGGCCUCCAAGGGGAAGGGCUCAGCUGUCAGAGAAGAGGGCCGUUUCCAAAGGGGUCAAAGCGCUGGACCCUCCAGGAUUGAUGGGCUAUGAAUUAUGGAUGUCGCAUCCGCCAGUCCCAAGGCUCCAGAGCCAGAGAGGGUAUCCCUGCCUUCCUUCUUUGUUGGCGUCUUCUCUCUGGCAUCCCUUUAGCGUUCGCUCAUUUCAUAUUAGGUGCCUUCCUGUACUGAUGUUACUUGUCGGUUGCUUUGUUUAAUGGAUGGGGUUGAUGUGCACCCCCGCCCUAAUCAACCGGGACCCCUGAGCAUAAGGGCUGCUCCUCUUCCAUGGCUAGUAUCAGCCACACUUAGGUGCUCAGUAUCAUGCGGUCACCUAGUCUUACGAAGAAUGAAGAGUGGCUCCAGGAGUCUAUGAAGGCAGCAGUGAGGCCAGACGGUGCACAAAGUGGCCACAGGGACUAACUUCCUCCCCCCAGCAAACAGCAUUUCACUGUGCUCUGAGCAAGGAUUGCCCCAACUCUUUCCUCCUUUACCCCCACUUCUUCCUUCCUUUGGGGUCGCUGGCCUCUCCUUCUGCUGCCCCACCCCACUCUGCUUGCAUUCCCAGGCCUGUCCCUGGCAGGGGCUCUCCCAAGCAGUGUUCCCUCUGCCCAGCCCCACCUCCACCUUUCUCCCCUGCCACAUGCCCACAUGCUCAGGUAGCCCCCUCAUGCCCUCCCCUGGAUUCAGCUGUUCCCUCUGCCAAAGAGUCCUACCUCUGUGGAAUGAUUUUCAGCUCUUACCCUGAAUGGCUCCUUGGACAUCUCCGAACCCUUCUCCCAUCCAACUCUGCUACCUCUGUUCUCACACAGUACUCACAUCUUCCUCUAAUCUACAUGCAUCAGCCUCCUCACCAAUUCCUCAGACUCCAGGCUUGUCCCCAUCAGUCACAGCCACCUUUCACAGAACUUCCCAAAUCUCCACCUGAGCCUUCUGACCAAUCACCCCUCCAUGAAACUCCAGCAGGAGCUCCUUUCAUGCUCUGCCCCCUGAAGCCGCCUCUCCUGCCCUCUCCACCCCCACCUCUGCUCACGCCACAUGCGCCAGCUGCUGCCUGCACAGUGCUCCCUCUGUUGAGGGUCCCCGAGUGCCUUCCUUCCCCCACCCUAUGCCCAGGAGCUUCCACCAGUCCUAGGUGUCCUGGUCCAGCGUCCCUGCUUUCAGGAUCCUUCUUUGGUCUUUGCCUCCUCAUGAACUGGCUGCUCCACAUUGGUGCUGCCAUUGGCCAUGUGCAUGCCUCUGUCCCCACUUACUGCUUUAUUUUUAUUUUAUUUUAUUUUUUGAGACAGAGUCUCGCUCUGUUGCCCAGGCUGGAGUGCAGUGGUGUAUUCUCGGCUCACUGCAACCUCUGCCUCUCCAGGUUCAAGCGAUUCUUCCACCUCAGCCUUCUGAGUAGCUGGGAUUACAGGUGCUUGCCACCAUGCCCAGCUAAUUUUUGUAUUUUUAGUAGAGACGGGGUUUCACCAUGUUGGCCAGGCUGGUCUCAAACUCCUGACCUCAGGCAAUCCACCUGCCUUGGCCUCCCAAAGUGCUGGGAUUACAGGCGUGAGCCACCGCUCCAGGCCACUGCUUGGUAUUUUAAUGUUCUAUUCCUGUACCUGUGCAACUCCCUCCCCACCUCCUUGCCCUGCUGUAUGUCUCACAUCUCCAGCACCUGGAGUCCCUGGCAUGUAAGAAAGGCCUCUACAUCCUGAACAAGGGAAAUACAUUGAAUGAAGGAAUGACUAGAAGUGAGCCGGUCCGGUGGGCAGAGGCUCACAGGUAGGGGUUGAAAGCGUGGGCGUAUGGAGAGGCAGGCUGGAGGAGCAGCAUUUGAGGUAAAUUAGAAAAUAGCGCGAGAUUUAGCCACAGGGGGAGAAAGGCUUUCAAUAUACAAAACACCCCUUCCCUCGCUGCUCCUGUCAGCACCUUCUCAAAGCGAGGAAAAUAAAUCUGUUUUCUUUAUGACAAAGCCUGAUUUGAUGAUAAACCCUCUCAGCUUCCCGGGAGGUGGCAGUGACUCUGAUAGGUGGGGAGGAGGCAGGAGUAGGUAAAGGAAGCGGGGGCUGGGGGAGAGAAAAAAAGAGAGAGAGAGACUGAGGCGGGGGAGGAGAGGGAGAGAAAGCGCUUGUUCUGUGCGCUGAUUACUAAUGCGGUGGAAAAGCUGGGCAGGUUCUGGAGGGAGGCAUUUAUCCUGCAUGAGAAAGCAGGCAGUGUGUUUCAGAAGCUAUCCACAGGCCCCCCCGCCGCCAAGCUAGAGGGAAGGAGAUGGGGAAGGAGAGGGCCGGGCAGGACCUGGGGCUUGGCUCUGCCCUGAGCCACAGCAUGAAGAGGGACAGAGCUGCUGAACUCUUGGCUCUCAGGGCCACAGUCACCUGGGGCCCUUCUUUUUCCAGGGGGCUGCUUCAUCCGCCGAAGUCGCAGCCUUCUUCCUUGGGGACGUGUUUACAGGGUCACUUGGCUCCUUUCUCUACCUUUCUGGAGGGUGGGGGAAACCCAGCCCCAUUCCUGGCACCUAAAGUUGGAAACUGAGGGAGGCUCCUGGGAGUCCCCGUCCCUGAGGGAGGGGUGGUGUCUUUGGGGUGGCUGGGUCUGAGCAGCGUGUGGAUGCCGGGGAGCCAGGGGGCAUACCCCUGUAACUUUCCUCUCUUACCAUGAAGAGAAGCAGAGCCGUCUGCCACAGGGUUAGGCAACUUGUCCCUCAUCCCUUGUGGGGACCCCUCUCUGAGUAGCCUUCCUGUUAAGAAAACAAAAGAACAUGUGAGAUCACGGAGCUGCAGACUGCACCUUGGAGAUCACUGAAUCUUCUCUUCUCUUGGCCAGAGGAGGGGAUAGAAGAAAGCAGACAUGCCUGAGGCCACACAGCUGGCUGUCAUAGAAGUUACUUGGACAACACCACCCACCCCUGGGGGGUGGGGUGGUGGGAACUUGCUUGGUGAUGGCAACAAACAAACAAACACUUUCCCCUUCCCACUUCUCUUCCGGUAUUCCAGACAGGAGGAAUAAUGUACUGAUCUGCUGACAUUAAGAAGGACCCUAUUUUCAGAUUACUUCUUCAAAGGAGCAGCAUCUACAUUGGCAAGGUGAUUACAACCCAAGCACACAGCUGAUUUGGAAGACUUGAGUCCCAAAAGAUGACUUUUUUUUUUCCUCCUCCUCUGCAGGAUGCUUUAGCUUGAAACAUCUGGGUAACUGCUUAACACCUUCCUAUUUUGCAGAACAUUCCCAGCAUCGGGGCCGUUUGCAUCUUUCUGGGCUAGUAUUUUUCAGGAUUAUUUAGAACCAAGGACCUCAUGCACUGGGGGAGGUCCUGCUCCUCUCUGCCCACCCCGUUUCUCAUGCCCCCACUUCCACCUCCAACACUCCCUCAAGGGCAGAGGCGCUCAUCUUCCACUGUAUGUCCGCAGGGUUAAAACCUGCCAUGUUGCCUGUCUCCCAGGACAUGGCUCCUUCAGGGAUUUCUUUCUUUUUUUUUUUUGUUUUUUUGUUUUUUUUUGAGACACAGUCUCGCUCUGUCACCAGGCUGGAGUGCAGUGGUGCAAUCUCAGCUUACUGCAACCUCCACCUCCCAGGUUCAAGCAAUUCUCCUGCCUCAGCCUCCUGAGUAGCUGGGACUAUAGCGCACAGCACCACACCCGGCUAUUUUUUGUAUUUUUAGUAGAGACGGGGUUUCACCAUGUUGGUCAGACUGGUCUCGAACUCCUGACCUUGUGAUCUGUCUGCUCGGCCUCCCAAAGUGCUGGGAUUACAGACGUGAGCCACUGUGCCGAGCCUCCUUCAGGGAUUUCUUAGAUCUCCAAGAGAGGUGCUGCGGCUCUCACAGGUGUUGGGCUCCAGGAGCCUGUCCUGGGAGGCAGGGGGCCUCUCUGUGGGAGGAAGCACCUCUCCUAAGACUGCCCAGUGAUCCUUGGGGGACACUGAUUAUGGACAACGUGUAAUUCAAAGGUCGUUACCUUUGGUUUCAGGAUGGGUCAGAAAGGGCCUGAAAAGCUUGGAUUAUUCUCUCUUCUGCAUGGACUAGAGAAGGGUCAGGAAGGCCUGCAGCUAAGCAAGCUUUAAAGCCAUGGUAUAGUUGAUUUGGGCUCAGAAAGCUCAACUUGUGAGACUAGACUGAUUGUGUGUCUGUAUUUUCUGUACUUCCUUCCUUUUCUCCUUUUACCAUUUGAUACCUCUUUGUCAAUGGUAGUCUGUGCUACUGGGAACAGUAGGAGAGGGUUGGGUCUUUGUUCUUAGACUAGAAAUGUAAUAAGAUAGGGAUAGGCACCACACCCCUUGGGCUUGGAUAUGCUUUGAGCAACAGAUUUGGAGUGAGGGAACUCCAAGGGGCCAGGACAGAGUGAGGUGCUGGUGUGAUCAGGAUAUAGGGUAGUCAAACUCAGGUCUUCAGAUUCUCAUUCCAGUGCUCACUCCCUUGCAUCACAGUUCCUCUACAGAUGCCAUAACAAGAAACACUUCCACUCCCUCCUGUGUCUGAACUGUGUGUUAGACACAAAAGAAAAUAAUUCUGGAGUCGGUACAGUGGCACACAUCUGUAAUCCCAGGAACUCAGGAGGCUAAGGCAGGUGAACAUUUGAGCCCAAGAGUUCAAAACCAGCCUAGGUAACCUAGUGAGACCCAGUCUUUUAAAAAAAGAGAGAGAGAGAGAAAAGAAUUCCUGAAGGCAGGGCUGGGACUGGUAGUGCCAGGAGGAAACAAAAAGCUAUUUGCUGUGGUGCCUGAGCACAGAAGGAGAAUAGAGAAAAAGGAGGCAGAAGGAGUGCAGAGGGGAGGAAGGGGAGAGCAGGGCGUUCUGUGUGGGCUCAUUUGAAAGGAAGUACACAAGCCCAUCCAGGCCAUGGGUUUGGCCAUAUCUGGAAGGGCUGGACAGGCCAGGUUGAAGACAAGAAGGCCUCAGUGUGGGGAAUUUUAUUACAAUGAGGCAGGAAGGAGGUGGUCCUUGGGCUUCUUUGUCACCCGCAGGGAGAAGGGAGACGUGAGAGCUGUGGGGAAAGAAGCAGGCCUCCUCCCCCUGCAUGGAGACCUUUGUCCAUGCUGCCGGCGGCCACAGGAGGGAGGCGUGUGAGAUGGCGGCUGCUGGAGAAUGUGAUGCCCGCUGGUCCAAGAGAUGACCUUGAGAGAGAGGAGAGACAAAAUUGAGCUGGUGUCUAGUGUGGGGGAGAGGGGAGGGGCAGGUGAGGUGGGAGGAGAAAGCUGAGAGGCAGCUAGACAGGGAGGGGGUGGGGAGAGCCGGGGCCACCUCCCCGUCUGGUCUGUCUGCCUCUGUCCUGGCCAGAAGGAAGGAGGACACAGACACAGGCAUGUAGGGGUGCGGCAGAGAUGGGGGGCCGUGUGUCUUUGAGCCCCAAGGUUCUCCUGAGCUGAGACCUUCAUUACCUCAUGUGCUUCCUAAGGAUACAGGCCUUGAACCUGCUGGGGGCAGGCCCUGGACUCAAGCUCCAUAGGCAGCCCCCCUUUUUCUAGCCUGGGUGAUGCCCUCCCGAGUCCUUGCUUUUCAAAGCAUUUUGGGGGGACGUGGUAGGGGCACCCAUCCUCUGCUCCAGGAGCUGGAGAUGGGAUUUCCCAUUUCUCUGACAAGAAUUCCCAAGAAGUGAUGGCUGUCACUGCAGCUCCACCCCCAUGCCCAUCUUUCUUUUUCUGUUAUAGAUUGUUUAUGUUAAGUCAUCUUUCUCUGGGACAAAGUACUUAGCCUCUCAUUUUCAUCAGUAAAAGCAGGGAUAAUAAUUCCUUCCUCACAGAGUUGUUAGGACUGCCAAAUUAGGUCCCAUAUGUAAAAGAGCUUGCUGAAGUGCAAACUGACAGCAGAAAUGUAAGAGAUUACUAUUCCCAGGGAAGAGACAAAAGAGAAAAGGAAGCAGGAAGGGAGUCCAGGCAAGGUCAGGGUGGGGAAAUGGCCUUGGCUCCUAAAACAGACUUAGCUCCAGCCUCUCCAGCAGCCCCUCCCACCCUCCCUUCUCCACGAGCCUCCUCUGGCCCUAGGCCUUGCUGGGUAACCUUUGGAAAAACAGGACCCUGGAGCUGAGAAUGGGGCAGGCAGAGGGGGAGGUCAUUGCAAACUCAUCCUUUCUCUCACGGAGAGGAGGGGCCCUGGCCUCUUCCCCUUGACCUCCUCCCGCUGAUACUCAUAGGACAGGUUAGGGCAAGACCCUCCUGAAGGCCACAGGGUGCCCCAGAGGAGGGAGGCACUCCCCUUCACACAGAGCUGGCAGAAUAGUCACCAGGGUGCCGCCCAGAGCAAGUGCCCUUGCCAAGGUCAAAUAUGAGUUGCUGCUGGGCCACAAAGGACCUGGAUGAGUGAGGUUAGGAAAGUCUGGUGUUGGAGGAGGUGGAUGUGAUGCAAACCUAGACUGCCGGCUGGCAUGAGGCCCUCAAGCUAGCUGCCGUGCCUGGCUGGACCCCACAGCCCCUCCUCUCACUCCCUUCCUUUGUACUCUCUCAGGGCUGGCUUGCAUCUGCUCUGUGUCAUUCUCUCCAUCUUUACCAUUCUACAAGACAGGAGGGCCUCACUCUGGCUAAAGAGGUGCUCUCUGCCUUCCCUGCCAGUUGCCCAACCCUAACCCCUUUAGGUACCUGAGAAACAGGAGGCCUAGCUGUUCACAUCAAGAUCGAGAAGGAACAGCUGUGGGGUUUCUCUCUCUCUGUCUCUCCCCAUCUCUCUCUUCCUCCUUCCCUCCCUGGUGCAGAGGGACAGAUGCUCUGUUUAGAAUUUCUUCAGGGAGACAGACAACAAGGGCAUUCUUUCUAUUCCUUGGGCUUCCCUAGCCAAAAAUGGGGGAUUAGCCAAGAGACAGCUGCAGAGGCAGCGGCCCUUGGGGAACCCCUCCCGGAGCAGCAAUGGCCUGGGGAAAGAAACUCUCUGGAGCUGGCCUCCUUUAAUUGGAACUUGAAAAUGGUGUCUGCAUUGGAGUGUGGCAGAGAGCAGGACUUCAGACUCUGGCUGGAUGGACCCCGGAUUGAAUCCUAGCUCUGCCACUCUCUUGCUGUUUGGGUUUGGGCCUCUCCCCUUUCAGAAGCCUGUUUCUUCAUCUGCAGUCUGAAGAUGAGCAUCCCUACUCACUAGGGUUUUUGCUGGAAUUAAAUGAGUUGAUGCACAGAAAAGCUUCUAUUAUAGGUCUGGCAAACUCCAGGAGUCCAGGGAUUGUUAGAUCUCCUGUCCCACAAUAGAGCAGGAGCCAGGUGACUUUCUGUAUUCAGCAAAGAGUAACCGAGAGGCAUGUGGGAAUGAUGUGGCUUCCAGUACCCAAAAGCCCCAGUUCUGGAAAACCUUUUUUUUUUUUAAUUAGAUUUUUGAAAAAAUUGGAUUCCUCGGCCAGGAGUGGUGGCUCACACCUGUAAUUCCAACACUUCGGGAGGCCGAGGCGGGCAGAUCACCCGAGGUCAGGAGUUCGAGACCAGCCUGACCAACAUGGAGAAACCCUGUCUCUACUUAAAGUACAAAAUUAGCCAGGUGUGGUGGCGCAUGCCUGUAAUCCCAGCUACUCAGGAGGCUGAGGCAGGAGAAUUGCUUGAAUCCGGGAGGCAGAGGUUGUGGUGAGCCAAGAUCACGCCAUUGCACUCCCCCCUGGGCAACAAGAGUGAAACUCCAUCUCAAAAAAAAAAAAAAAAGAAAAAAGAAAAUUGGAUUCCUCAAUCCAGGAUCUCUUGCAUUUGGAGAACUUUAGGCUUUCAGCUGUUGCAUGCCUAGGCCUUGUCAUAAUCCAAUAAAGCAGGAUAUGGAACGGGAUAUUGGAUAUGGAAGGGGAUAGGAUUGGUGGAUGAAACAGAGAAAGGGAGAGAGAGACAGAAAACACACACACACACACACACUCUGAGAGAGAGAGAGACACACACAGAGAGAGAGAUUCCGCUGUAACAAACUCUUGGAAGACAGAAAGAGGAGGCAAAGGAGAGGAAGGGCCAGUGACAGCUCUGCUGCUCUGAAAGUCAAGGGGCCCUUGGCUCACUGCCUUCCCCGUCCUUCCCUGGGGCCAGGUGCGCUGGAAUCCUAGAUUCCCUGGGAGUGAGGGUAGGUACCAUGACGGCAUGAAGUCACCUCCCACCACCUUCAAGACUUCCCACUGCCAGUCUGUAGCCUGUGUGUUGAGUCCUGGUCCAACCCUGAGUCACCCGUGUGAACUGGGGUCAGUGAUUGGUCUCUAGUUCUCCAUCUCUCCAUCUGAAGAAUGUGAAUAAUAAUUUCUGACUUGGCUGUUUACAGGACCGCCGUGAGGAUCCAAGUGCACAGUGAGGUGGGGGGAGGCAGAUACAUGGAUUCCUUUCCACGUGGCCCACAAGAAACACCUGUCCCUCCAGACUCGGGGACCACCAGGGACCUUGAAUAGUUGCCUUGGCAACUCAUUGCCUGGCUAACUCCCACUCCUUUGGGUUUCAGCUUAAACAUCAGUUGUGCAAGAUCUUCUGGACCCCUAAGUUGGGUCCUCCUCUUGUAAGCAUUCAUAGCAUUCUCUACAUACCCUUUACAGCACUUUUAUGAGUUGAAUAGCAUGGUUAUUGGUGUGCUUAUUUGUUUCACACCUGUCUUUUGCACUAAAUUCUAAGCUCUCUGAGGAAAAGGAAUAUGUUUCUGUUGCGUACCAUCUUAUCACCACGUAGCAGUGGGUGCUCCAUAAGAUCCUCCUGCGUGAGUAAGUGAAUUCCCUGCCUCAUCCCUCUCUCAUGCCUUAGCAUGAGGCCUGAGGCCAAGAGCCCGUCCAUCACAUACCCCUUGCCCAAAGCCUCCUUAUAACGGUCAGGAGAAGGGUGGCAUCUCCUCCUCUCCCUUCUAACUCAAGGAACAAAUCACUGGCUACAUGAUAGUUGCCCUUCCUCCCAUCCUUCCAGCAUAGUAGCCCCUGCCCAGGAUCCAAAAGGCAGAAGGUGAGUAAUUGCUAUUUUUAUUUAUCUUUGCACAAGGCUGCCCUCUGGUGGUCGAACAUGUAGGAGCGAAUGGGAAGGAUGGAAACCCCAGUAGCCAGGAACCAGCCCAGCUGGCUGAGCCAACCACGCUCAAGAGACUGGCCAGCGAGCCAGGGAGUAGGUAAGUGCUACAAGAAGCGCAUCUGGGUGAAGAUUCGUGUCAGUUCUCCAUCCUUAUGAAUGGCUCCCUCCAAAUCUAACAGGAGGCCCUGGCCUCAGAAGAGCAGGAAAUGAAGGAAUGCCCUAUAGAAAUCUUACCUACCUCAGCCCCAGUAGGAUGGUGUGCAGGUAGGGGGAGCUGGUUUAAGUAGCUAUUCUUUCUCCUCAGUGGUAUGCAGGCAAACAUUUUACAGUCAGCUCUCAAAAAAGGAAAUCCCAAUUUGUAGUGUUUACCAAUUUCUGUAGUGUAAAUACCCCUACCAUGGCCCAUUUUAAACCACCGAUAUGAUGUCACUGAAUGAGGAGCUGGAAGAGAUGCCCAGUAGCACACCAUUAUCUAGAGUUUCCCCCAUACAGACACCAUGGACAGAAAUAACUUCAAGGGCACGAUUAAUAGUGAAAUAUAGUAAACUAAUUGAAAAUGA